CUAAAUCACAAAAUCAAAAUUAAAAAAAUAAAAAAAAAUUCCAUUUUUCUUUCUUUCUUCCUAAUUUUCAUUCACUUCAAAAUCCUCAACCUCAUUUCCUCACUAAAUUCUCUCUCAAAAUCUAUCUAUAUUCUUUCCUCAUUCAAUUCCUUCAUCAUUAGAUUGCUUCAAUUUCACAAAUUCCCAUCAAUGCGCACCGUUUUGUUCCCAUUUCACAAAACCUAGUUUCUAGGGUUAAGAGCUAGUGUUAGGGUUUGAAUUUUGUGCUCUUUUCUCUCAUCAAGUUUCAAUCUUUCUUCAAAACCCAUCAAAUUGCUGCGAUUACCAACCGAUUUGGCAUGGUGGGUGACGACGAUGCUCCAGCUCCGUGCCACCUUCCGUCUAACCGGAAAAUGUUCUGGCGGUCGGCGUCGUGGUCUUCCGCUCGUUCCUCCGCCGCUAACCCGUCCGGUGAACCGGAGUCGAAUUUUGCUGAUCCCAAUUCAAAUUCAGCUGAAGGGAUUAAUACCAACCGGAGAUUUCCUCCACCUCCAUUGACGCCGAGGAGCCAGCAGAAUUGUAAGGCGAGGUCGUCGUGUUUGCCGCCGCUUCAGCCGCUUUCGAUUGCUCGCCGGAGUUUGGAUGAGUGGCCGAAGGCGAGUUCGGAUGAUAUCGGGGAGUGGCCGCAACCGCCGAUUACUCCCGGUGGUAGAGGUAAUGGUAAUGGUAAUGGUAAUAGUAGUGUUAGUAAUAGCAAUGGUGAAAGGUUGAAACUUGAUUUGUCUUCUAUUCAGCAGAAUAGUAAUCAUGAUAGUAGGAAUAAUGGGGGGCUUGUGAAGAGAGAUAAGAUUGCUUUUUUCGAUAAGGAGUGUUCGAAAGUUGCUGAACAUGUUUACCUUGGUGGUGAUGCUGUUGCUAAGGAUAGGGGGAUUUUGAAAAGGAAUGGGAUUACUCAUGUUUUGAAUUGUGUAGGUUUCGUGUGUCCGGAGUAUUUCAAAGCUGAUUUUGUGUAUAGAACUUUGUGGUUACAGGAUAGUCCUAGUGAGGAUAUAACUAGUAUUUUGUAUGAUGUGUUUGAUUACUUUGAGGAUGUUAGGGAAAAGAGUGGGAGGGUGUUUGUUCAUUGUUGUCAAGGGGUGUCGAGGUCGACUUCUCUUGUUAUUGCUUAUCUUAUGUGGAGGGAAGGGCAGAGUUUCGAUGAUGCUUUUCAGUUUGUGAAGGCGGCCAGAGGUAUUGCGGAUCCGAAUAUGGGUUUCGCUUGUCAGUUGUUGCAGUGUCAGAAAAGGGUUCACGCGUUUCCGCUUAGUCCUAGCUCGUUGUUGAGAAUGUAUAGGAUUGCUCCUCACUCGCCGUAUGAUCCUUUGCAUCUUGUUCCCAAGAUGUUGACCGAUCCGUCUUCGUGUGCUCUUGACUCUAGGGGUGCGUUUAUAGUUCACAUUCCGUCUGCAAUAUAUGUUUGGAUUGGCAAGAAGUGUGAGGCUAUUAUGGAAAGGGAUGCUAGAGGGGCUGCGGGUCAGAUUGUCCGGUAUGAAAGAGUGCAAGGAUCUAUUAUCAUGAUUAAGGAAGGUGAGGAACCGCCUUCUUUUUGGGAUGCUUUUUCGAAGUUUUUGCCUUUGAUGGACAUAUCGGGAAGUGGGGUAGAAAGUAGCAAAACAAGUGUUAUAAAUUUUCCUGGCGAGAGGAAAGUGGAUGCGUACAAUGUCGAUUUUGAAGUUUUUGGAAAAGCCAUCGUGGGAGGUUUUGUGCCUCCGUUUGCGUCAUUAGAGAACGAACAUGAAACCCAUCUUCCCGCAAGAGAGAGUAGCUGGAGUGUUUUAAGGCGGAAAGAUUCCUCCGCAAAUGUGAAGGAAUUUGUCUCGGCCCCUAAGUUAUCCUUACCGCGAGUCUAUUCAGAUUCCGUGUUGUGUAUUCAUGCAUCUGCAAUUUCAUUUCCAUCCCCAUCAUCAUCGUCAACAACAUCGUCUUUAUCAUCAUCCUCUUCACCGCCUUUUGUCUCUCCAGAUUCCGAUUCUUCUGAUUCUAGCAAUCACUCAAAGUUUUUGUUAGAAUUGUCACCAGAUUCUUCCUCUCUAGUUCUUGCUCCCGUUCCGGUAUCUUCAUCUUUGUCUAACUUCUCUAGUUUGUCCCUCUCAAAUUCCACCUCUCUACCGGUGUCUAACUGUAAAGAUAUCUAUGAUGUCAAAUUAUCAAAUCUAUCUUCUCAGUCUGCCUCUUUACCAUCCAAAAAAUCAUCGACUUCCAUUGCUGAACGCAGAGGUAGUUUAUCGAAGUCUUUGAAGUUGCCUCUAAUGAAUGAUAAGACUCAAGUAAUAGAUAAACCAUCAACUAUUUCUGCUGGUCGGGAACACGGUGUUCUCAGUAACAACAACUUUAGCUGUGUACAAGAUUCAGACAGUAUAGACUAUUUGUUCGAGUCCACCAAUCAUCAUCAUGUCAAAGACAGAGCUGAGCCUUCCGUAGAUAGUUUGUCAAGAGAAAAUUUGAAGUCUACCGCGUCAAAGGGAACUAAUGAGAGCGACUCAUUGCAAUGUACUAGGACACAAACUGUAGUAUAUCGCUGGCCUAGUUUAGAAAAGAUCGAGACAUUUGGUUCCAAUCAUUUGAGCUCUGAGGCUGCUUUUGUUAUAUUCUCUCCAAGUAUACUUAUGCCAGCAGGAAAUGUUUUAUAUCUAUGGGUAGGGAGUUCUUUCAAACUGGACGCUUCUUCACAGGAUCGGUUAGAUAGUGAUAGGCAGUCCGAUUUUCUUGAAGCAGUUGACUGGAACAGAAUUGGCUGUGAUCUUCUUGUUCAGUUUAAUUUGCCGAAGAAUACAGUUACUAAGAUUGUUAAAGAGAAUGAAGAACCCCGAGAGUUCCUUGCUUUGCUGAGUUCAUUGUAGCACAAGCGGUACUAGAAGAAACCCGGGUUCAAGUAGAUUUCGUAAUCUUUCCUUCAUCUGCAGCUGUCUCUAUGUAUGUCAAUUUUGAAGACUCUAAUCUGAUUUUCCCUGGAAAAGAAAUCCAGCAAGGAGGGUUGCCAUUUUAAGGAGUCCAUUGUAGCUUGGCUGAUUCUACAAUGCUUAACAUCUUCAACCUAGAUAUUUAUUUUCAACAUAGUGACAUACAGAUUUUUUAAAUAUUCUCAUGUUAUUUAAGGAGGAAAGAAAUCUCAAAUCCUUCAUUAAAUGUAUCACUUAUUGAGAGUUUAUAAAUUAAUAGAAACAGCUCGAUGUUGUAUAAGUUCUUCAUUAAACGAAAUCACAUAGUUUUAGUUGCACAUUGUAAAUUACUGAAACAUGCUUUGUAUGAUAGACAUCUGUGACAAUUAUUACUUUAGAAGUCCUUUGCAA
Molecule: RNA transcript, 3308 nt
Organism: Vicia villosa (hairy vetch)
Lineage: Eukaryota; Viridiplantae; Streptophyta; Magnoliopsida; Fabales; Fabaceae
Gene name: protein-tyrosine-phosphatase MKP1
Exons: 3
Source: RefSeq, a predicted model, not a curated record